RNAcentral lists this ribosomal RNA (449 nucleotides) under uncultured bacterium. Its description in RNAcentral is "partial 16S ribosomal RNA". It matches the Rfam family "Bacterial small subunit ribosomal RNA", at positions 29 to 523 of the family's 1533-position model. The record is from RNAcentral.
AGCGAACGCUGGCGGCAGGCCUAACACAUGCAAGUCGAACGGACCCUUCGGGGUUAGUGGCGGACGGGUGGGUAACACAUGGGAACGUGCCUUUAGGUUCGGAAUAGCUCCUGGAAACGGGUGGUAAUGCCGAAUGUGCCCUUCGGGGGAAAGAUUUAUCGCCUUUAGAGCGGCCCGCGUCUGAUUAGCUAGUUGGUGAGGUAAUGGCUCACCAAGGCGACGAUCAGUAGCUGGUCUGAGAGGAUGACCAGCCACAUUGGGACUGAGACACGGCCCAAACUCCUACGGGAGGCAGCAGUGGGGAAUCUUGCGCAAUGGGCGAAAGCCUGACGCAGCCAUGCCGCGUGGAUGAUGAAGGUCUUAGGAUUGUAAAAUCCUUUCACCGGUGAAGAUAAUGACUGUAGCCGGAGAAGAAGCCCCGGCUAACUUCGUGCCAGCCGCCGCCGUAA